RNAcentral lists this transfer RNA (72 nucleotides) under Bacteroidota bacterium. Its description in RNAcentral is "Bacteroidetes bacterium tRNA-Arg". It matches the Rfam family "tRNA". From Rfam's summary of the family: Transfer RNA (tRNA) molecules are approximately 80 nucleotides in length. Their secondary structure includes four short double-helical elements and three loops (D, anti-codon, and T loops). Further hydrogen bonds mediate the characteristic L-shaped molecular structure. tRNAs have two regions of fundamental functional importance: the anti-codon, which is responsible for specific mRNA codon recognition, and the 3' end, to which the tRNAs corresponding amino acid is attached (by aminoacyl-tRNA synthetases). tRNAs cope with the degeneracy of the genetic code in two manners: having more than one tRNA (with a specific anti-codon) for a particular amino acid; and 'wobble' base-pairing, i.e. permitting non-standard base-pairing at the 3rd anti-codon position. RNAcentral also lists the same sequence under 1 other name. The record is from RNAcentral. Lineage: Bacteria; Pseudomonadati; Bacteroidota.
GGCUCCGUAGUACAAUGGAUAGUGCGUGGGUUUCCGGUACCCAAAAUCUAGGUUCGAUUCCUAGCGGAGCUA